RNAcentral lists this long non-coding RNA (313 nucleotides) under Nicotiana benthamiana. RNAcentral describes it as "long non-coding RNA (NBEN_LNC032050)". The record is from RNAcentral. Lineage: Eukaryota; Viridiplantae; Streptophyta; Magnoliopsida; Solanales; Solanaceae.
AGCAAGUUGAAGUCUUUGAGGUGAGGAACCUCCGAGCAAGGUGAAGUCUUUGAGGUGAGGAAACUCCGAGCAAGUUGAAGUCUUUGAAGUGAGGAACCUCCGAGCAAGUUGAUGUCUUUGAGGUGAGGAACCUCCGAGCAAGUGUCUGAGAUUUGUGUGAUUCAAGUCUCAAGUGUAAAGGUUUGUUGGGCACCUUAAGCUUGACAAGGUUGUUAGUGGAAAUAUCGAGAGAGUCUCUCGGGGACUGGACUAACCACAAAGUGUGGCCAACCAGUAUAUAUCGUGGUGUAAUUUAUUUUUACUGCAUUUGNNN